This 1160-nucleotide ribosomal RNA is filed under the name Trichothecium roseum. RNAcentral describes it as "bacterial SSU rRNA". It matches the Rfam family "Eukaryotic small subunit ribosomal RNA", at positions 685 to 1831 of the family's 1831-position model. The record is from RNAcentral. Lineage: Eukaryota; Fungi; Ascomycota; Sordariomycetes; Hypocreales.
GAUCCAGUUCCCAAUAGCGUAUUAGUCGUGAGUUAAGCCGAUGAUCUGACUGGCUGGCCGUCGCUCACCGGUGCAUGUCCGCCGCCUCCUCGGACGCAUGGCUCUUGCGUGCGGAACAGACUUUACUUGAAAAAUAGAGUGCUCAGCAGCUAUGCUCGAAUACAUAGCAUGGAUAUGAAAUAGGACGUGCGUUCUAUUUUGUUGUUCUAGGACCGCGUAAUGAUUAAUAGGACAGUCGGGGCAUCAGUAUUCAAUGUCAGAGGUGAAAUCUUGGAUUUAUUGAAGACUAACUACUGCGAAAGCAUUUGCCAAGGAUGUUUUCAUUAAUCAGGAACGAAAGUUAGGGGAUCGAAGACGAUCAGAUACCGUCGUAGUCUUAACCAUAAACUAUGCCGACUAGGGAUCGGACGAUGUUACUUAUUGACUCGUUCGGCACCUUACGAGAAAUCAAAGUGCUUGGGCUCCAGGGGGAGUAUGGUCGCAAGGCUGAAACUUAAAGAAAUUGACGGAAGGGCACCACCAGGGGUGGAGCCUGCGGCUUAAUUUGACUCAACACGGGGAAACUCACCAGGUCCAGACACAAUAAGGAUUGACAGAUUGAGAGCUCUUUCUUGAUUUUGUGGGUGGUGGUGCAUGGCCGUUCUUAGUUGGUGGAGUGAUUUGUCUGCUUAAUUGCGAUAACGAACGAGACCUUAACCUGCUAACUAGCCCGUAUUGCUUUGGCAGUACGCCGGCUUCUUAGAGGGACUAUCGGCUCAAGCCGAUGGAAGUUUGAGGCAAUAACAGGUCUGUGAUGCCCUUAGAUGUUCUGGGCCGCACGCGCGCUACACUGACGGAGCCAGCGAGUACUCCCUUGGCCGGAAGGCCCGGGUAAUCUUGUUAAACUCCGUCGUGCUGGGGAUAGAGCAGUGCAAUUAUUGCUCUUCAACGAGGAAUCCCUAGUAAGCGCAAGUCAUCAGCUUGCGUUGAUUACGUCCCUGCCCUUUGUACACACCGCCCGUCGCUACUACCGAUUGAAUGGCUCAGUGAGGCGUUCGGACUGGCCCAGAGAGGUGGGCAACUACCACUCAGGGCCGGAAAGUUCUCCAAACUCGGUCAUUUAGAGGAAGUAAAAGUCGUAACAAGGUCUCCGUAGGUGAACCUGCGGAAAUCGUCGAACG